This 499-nucleotide ribosomal RNA is filed under the name uncultured bacterium. Its description in RNAcentral is "bacterial SSU rRNA". It matches the Rfam family "Bacterial small subunit ribosomal RNA", at positions 29 to 507 of the family's 1533-position model. The record is from RNAcentral.
ACGAACGCUGGCGGCGUGCCUAAUACAUGCAAGUCGAGCGGAAUGAUGAAGAAGCUUGCUUCUUCUGAUUUUAGCGGCGGGCGGGUGAGUAACACGUGGGCAACCUACCUUGUAGAUUGGGAUAACUCCGGGAAACCGGGGCUAAUACCGAAUAAUCCAUUUUGCUUCAUGGCGAGAUGUUGAAAGACGGUUUCGGCUGUCACUACAAGAUGGGCCCGCGGCGCAUUAGCUAGUUGGUAGGGUAAUGGCCUACCAAGGCGACGAUGCGUAGCCGACCUGAGAGGGUGAUCGGCCACACUGGGACUGAGACACGGCCCAGACUCCUACGGGAGGCAGCAGUAGGGAAUCUUCCACAAUGGACGAAAGUCUGAUGGAGCAACGCCGCGUGAGUGAAGAAGGUUUUCGGAUCGUAAAACUCUGUUGUAAGGGAAGAACACGUACGAGAGUAACUGCUCGUACCUUGACGGUACCUUAUUAGAAAGCCACGGCUAACUACGUG